GUCGGUGAUGACAGGACCUACAAGAAAAAUCUCCAACCGAAUAUGGUUCUGACGGAGAUCCUUCGAUGCUUAAGUUAAAAUUCUAAACAAUAGAGGGAAGGAGUGAGCAUAUUGGGAAAGAGAAGAUUGCAUACCAUGGGGGUCUCCUGUGAGUCUUUAUUUAUAGGCUGAGGUUGAAGAAUCUUGAGGAGGAAGGAGAAUCAGGCGGU
This 209-nucleotide long non-coding RNA is filed under the name Elaeis guineensis (African oil palm). Its description in RNAcentral is "long non-coding RNA (EGUI_LNC022648)". The record is from RNAcentral. Lineage: Eukaryota; Viridiplantae; Streptophyta; Magnoliopsida; Arecales; Arecaceae.